GGAGUUGACUGGGUGAUCGCUGCUCUGUUGAUGUCCUUCGGGAGACUGACAGAGGGGAGGAACGUCCGGGCUCCAUAGAGCAGGGUGCCAGGUAACGCCUGGGGGGCGCGAGCCCACGACAAGUGCAACAGAGAGAAAACCGCCGAUGGCCCGUAAGGGAUCAGGUAAGGGUGAAAGGGUGCGGUAAGAGCGCACCGUGCGUCUGGUAACAGUGCGUAGCAAGGUAAACUCCACCCGGAGCAAGACCAAAUAGGCUUCCACAUUGCGUUGCUCGCGUAAGGAAGCGGGUAGGUUGCUCGAGCCUGUGAGUGAUUGCAGGCCUAGACGAAUGGUUACCGCCGCGAAAGCGGAGACAGAACCCGGCGUAUGUGUCAACUCCACCU
This 383-nucleotide RNase P RNA is filed under the name Vibrio sp. ES.051. RNAcentral's name for it is "Bacterial RNase P class A". It matches the Rfam family "Bacterial RNase P class A". Rfam says of the family: Ribonuclease P (RNase P) is a ubiquitous endoribonuclease, found in archaea, bacteria and eukarya as well as chloroplasts and mitochondria. Lineage: Bacteria; Pseudomonadati; Pseudomonadota; Gammaproteobacteria; Vibrionales; Vibrionaceae. The record is from RNAcentral. RNAcentral also lists the same sequence under 1 other name.